CAGCAGCCACGGGAAUACGUAGGUGGCAAGCGUUGUCCGGAAUUAUUGGGCGUAAAGGGCGCGCAGGCGGCUUCUUAAGUCUGUCUUAAAAGUGCGGGGCUUAACCCCGUGAUGGGAUGGAAACUGGGAAGCUCAGAGUAUCGGAGAGGAAAGCGGAAUUCCUAGUGUAGCGGUGAAAUGCGUAGAUAUUAGGAGGAACACCAGUGGCGAAAGCGGCUUUCUGGACGAAAACUGACGCUGAGGCGCGAAAGCCAGGGGAGCGAACGGGAUUAGAUACCCCUGUAGUCCCUGUCUCUUAUCA
RNAcentral lists this ribosomal RNA (301 nucleotides) under uncultured bacterium. RNAcentral's name for it is "partial 16S ribosomal RNA". It matches the Rfam family "Bacterial small subunit ribosomal RNA", at positions 509 to 808 of the family's 1533-position model. The record is from RNAcentral.